This 490-nucleotide ribosomal RNA is filed under the name uncultured bacterium. Its description in RNAcentral is "partial 16S ribosomal RNA". It matches the Rfam family "Bacterial small subunit ribosomal RNA", at positions 30 to 507 of the family's 1533-position model. The record is from RNAcentral.
AUUGAACGCUGGCGGCAGGCCUAACACAUGCAAGUCGAACGGUAACAGGAAGAAGCUUGCUUCUUUGCUGACGAGUGGCGGACGGGUGAGUAAUGUCUGGGAAACUGCCUGAUGGAGGGGGAUAACUACUGGAAACGGUAGCUAAUACCGCAUAACGUCGCAAGACCAAAGAGGGGGACCUUCGGGCCCCUUGCCAUCGGAUGUGCCCAGAUGGGAUUAGCUAGUAGGUGGGGUAACGGCUCACCUAGGCGACGAUCCCUAGCUGGUCUGAGAGGAUGACCAGCCACACUGGAACUGAGACACGGUCCAGACUCCUACGGGAGGCAGCAGUGGGGAAUAUUGCACAAUGGGCGCAAGCCUGAUGCAGCCAUGCCGCGUGUAUGAAGAAGGCCUUCGGGUUGUAAAGUACUUUCAGCGGGGAGGAAGGGAGUAAAGUUAAUACCUUUACUCAUUGACGUUACCCGCAGAAGAAGCACCGGCUAACUCCGUG